AUUGAACGCUGGCGGCAUGCUUUACACAUGCAAGUCGAACGGUAACAGGCCGCAAGGUGCUGACGAGUGGCGAACGGGUGAGUAAUGCAUCGGAACGUGCCCAGUCGUGGGGGAUAACUACUCGAAAGAGUAGCUAAUACCGCAUACGAUCUAUGGAUGAAAGCGGGGGACCGUAAGGCCUCGCGCGAUUGGAGCGGCCGAUGUCAGAUUAGGUAGUUGGUGGGGUAAAGGCUCACCAAGCCAACGAUCUGUAGCCGGUCUGAGAGGACGACCAGCCACACUGGGACUGAGACACGGCCCAGACUCCUACGGGAGGCAGCAGUGGGGAAUUUUGGACAAUGGGCGCAAGCCUGAUCCAGCAAUGCCGCGUGCAGGAAGAGGGCCUUCGGGUUGUAAACUGCUUUUGUACGGAACGAAACGGCUCUGGUUAAUACCCGGGGCUAAUGACGGUACCGUAAGAAUAAGCACCGGCUAACUACGUG
This 482-nucleotide ribosomal RNA is filed under the name uncultured bacterium. Its description in RNAcentral is "partial 16S ribosomal RNA". It matches the Rfam family "Bacterial small subunit ribosomal RNA", at positions 30 to 507 of the family's 1533-position model. The record is from RNAcentral.